Molecule: ribosomal RNA, 850 nt
Filed under: uncultured bacterium
Lineage: Bacteria
Description: SSU rRNA
Rfam family: Bacterial small subunit ribosomal RNA
Source: RNAcentral
UACGAGGGCCCCAAGCGUUAUCCGGAUUUAUUGGGCGUAAAGGGUCCGUAGGCGGCCUGACGCAUCUUUCGUUAAAUCUAUUGGCUUAACCGAUAGACCGCGAAAGAGAUGGUCUGGCUAGAGACUGGGAGAGGCAAGCGGAAUUGCUGGUGUAGGGGUUAAAUCCGUUAAUAUCAGCAAGAACACCAAAUGCGAAGGCAGCUUGCUUGAACAGUUCUGACGCUCAGGGACGAAAGCGUGGGGAGCGAAUGGGAUUAGAUACCCCAGUAGUCCACGCCGUAAACACUGGAUGCUAAACAUUGGUAGUAUCGACCCUAUCAGUGUUGUUUAUUUAAGCUAACGCCUUAAGCAUCCCGCCUGGGGAGUACGGCCGCAAGGCUAAAACUCAAAGGAAUAGACGGGGACCCGCACAAGCGGUGGAGCAUGUGGUUUAAUUCGACAAUAAGCGAGGAACCUCACCAAGGUUUGACAUAUAGCUGCAAGUCCUGGAAACAGGAACGCCUUCGAGGGUGCUAUACAGGUGCUGCAUGGUUGUCGUCAGCUCGUGUCGUGAGAUGUACCGUUAAGUCGGGAAACGAGCGCAACCCCUAUCUUGUGUUUCAUGUGUCACAAGAAACUGCCCGUUUUAAAUGGGAGAAAGGUGGGGAUGACGUCAAAUCAGCAUGGUCCUUACACCUUGGGCUACACACGUGCUACAAUGGGGAAUACAAAGGGAAGCCAAACCGAAAGGUGGAGCAAAUCCCCCAAAAAUCUUCUCAGUUCGGAUUGAGGUCUGCAAUUUGACCUCAUGAAGCUGGAAUCGCUAGUAAACGCGCAUCAGCCACGGCGCGUUGAAUACGUUCUCGGGUCU